GUCCAUGCCGUAAACGAUGUCUACUAGCCGUUGGGGUCUUUGAGACUUUAGUGGCGCAGCUAACGCGAUAAGUAGACCGCCUGGGGAGUACGGUCGCAAGGUUAAAACUCAAAUGAAUUGACGGGGGCCCGCACAAGCGGUGGAGCAUGUGGUUUAAUUCGAUGCAACGCGAAGAACCUUACCUGGUCUUGACAUAGUAAGAACUUUCCAGAGAUGGAUUGGUGCCUUCGGGAACUUACAUACAGGUGCUGCAUGGCUGUCGU
RNAcentral lists this ribosomal RNA (263 nucleotides) under uncultured bacterium. RNAcentral describes it as "partial 16S ribosomal RNA". It matches the Rfam family "Bacterial small subunit ribosomal RNA", at positions 793 to 1055 of the family's 1533-position model. The record is from RNAcentral.